RNAcentral lists this ribosomal RNA (433 nucleotides) under uncultured bacterium. RNAcentral describes it as "partial 16S ribosomal RNA". It matches the Rfam family "Bacterial small subunit ribosomal RNA", at positions 29 to 507 of the family's 1533-position model. The record is from RNAcentral.
AACGAACGCUGGCGGCAUGCCUAACACAUGCAAGUCGAACGAGACCUUCGGGUCUAGUGGCGCACGGGUGCGUAACGCGUGGGAACCUGCCCUUAGGUUCGGAAUAACUCCCCGAAAGGGGUGCUAAUACCGGAUAAUGUCUUCGGCCCAAAGAUUUAUCGCCCUUGGAUGGGCCCGCGUUGGAUUAGCUAGUUGGUAGGGUAAAAGCCUACCAAGGCGACGAUCCAUAGCUGGUCUGAGAGGAUGAUCAGCCACACUGGGACUGAGACACGGCCCAGACUCCUACGGGAAGCAGCAGUGGGGAAUAUUGGACAAUGGGCGAAAGCCUGAUCCAGCAAUGCCGCGUGAGUGAUGAAGGCCUUAGGGUUGUAAAGCUCUUUUACCCGGGAUGAUAAUGACAGUACCGGGAGAAUAAGCUCCGGCUAACUCCGUG